GACGAAGGGGGCUAGCGUUGUUCGGAAUUACUGGGCGUAAAGCGCGUGUAGGCGGUUUGCCAAGUCGGGUGUGAAAGCCUUGAGCUCAACUCAAGAAAUGCACUCGGUACUGGCAGACUAGAGGACCGGAGAGGAUAGUGGAAUUCCCAGUGUAGUGGUGAAAUACGUAGAGAUUGGGAAGAACACCAGUGGCGAAGGCGGCUAUCUGGACGGUUUCUGACGAUAAGACGCGAAAGCGUGGGGAGCAAACAGG
RNAcentral lists this ribosomal RNA (253 nucleotides) under uncultured bacterium. Its description in RNAcentral is "partial 16S ribosomal RNA". It matches the Rfam family "Bacterial small subunit ribosomal RNA", at positions 524 to 776 of the family's 1533-position model. The record is from RNAcentral.